CUGGGCAGCAUCCGGGCCCGCGGAUUCCUGCAAGGUCGCGAGGACCAGAAGUGCUGCCGCCAGGACAUGGUCCCAGGAGAGAGCUCCCACGCAGAAUAUUAGAAUUACAGCCCCGGCCAUUGAGGUGGAUGAAAGCUGAGCCUUGCUGCGCCAACUUGAGUCUCGUUCACCCUGAGCAGUCACAGAUGGGUCUUGUCUUUUCAGAUGCUCCACGAGGCCAUUGUCACAAUUCCAAGAGCCUGCUGGAUAACCCUGUGAGUGUGUCCAGAAACCUCAAAAUCAUUUUUGGAGACACUGCAGCAGAUUUGGUUUUUCUCAGAGCACUUCUGCAGCUGCUGAAUGCUUGCAGGCACAGGGGUCUCCUGCUUUUCAGACUUUUCCACUACUCCCUUUUCUAAUUACGUGCCAGGUGAAGGGUACAGAGAACAUCUUUGUUCUGAGUAGACUUUUUUGUGACUGUGGUUGAUAAAGCAGACAGACAGAAGAGGUUCCUGUUUCCCUCCUCGGUAAACGUGUGGCCAGGCAUGGUAAUGGUCUGAGGCUGAUGGGAACAGAAAGGUCAAAUGGAUGAAAAAGCGUCGGCUUUAAAAUACGUGUACAACUAGAGGCGGUGACCAAGCUGAGGACUGUGGCCUAGGAUAAUGACCGCAGGCUCUGUUCAUCCCUG
RNAcentral lists this long non-coding RNA (667 nucleotides) under Homo sapiens (human). RNAcentral describes it as "HSALNT0220426". Lineage: Eukaryota; Metazoa; Chordata; Mammalia; Primates; Hominidae. The record is from RNAcentral.